AGGUAAGCUACUAAGAGCGAAUGGUGGAUGCCUUGACUGGUAAAGGCGAUGAAGGACGUACUAGACUGCGAUAAGCUACGGGGAGCUGUCAAGAAGCUUUGAUCCGUAGAUUUCCGAAUGGGGCAACCCAAUGUAUAGAGAUAUACAUUACCUAUAUAGGAGCGAACGAGGGGAAUUGAAACAUCUUAGUACCCUCAGGAAAAGAAAUCAAUAGAGAUUGCGUCAGUAGCGGCGAGCGAAAGCGCAAGAGGGCAAACCCAGUGCUUGCACUGGGGGUUGUAGGACUGCAAUGUGCAAGAGGUGAGUUUAGCAGAACAUUCUGGAAAGUAUAGCCAUAGAGGGUGAUAGUCCCGUAUGCGAAAAACAAACCUUAGCUAGCAGUAUCCUGAGUAGGGCGGGACACGAGAAAUCCUGUCUGAAGCUGGGUCGACCACGAUCCAACCCUAAAUACUAAUACCAGAUCGAUAGUGCACAAGUACCGUGAGGGAAAGGUGAAAAGAACUGAGGUGAUCAGAGUGAAAUAGAACCUGAAACCAUUUGCUUACAAUCAUUCAGAGCCCUAUGUAGCAAUACAGGGUGAUGGACUGCCUUUUGCAUAAUGAGCCUGCGAGUUGUGGUGUCUGGCAAGGUUAAGCAAACGCGAAGCCGUAGCGAAAGCGAGUCUGAAUAGGGCGCUUAGUCAGAUGCUGCAGACCCGAAACGAAGUGAUCUAUCCAUGAGCAAGUUGAAGCUAGUGUAAGAACUAGUGGAGGACUGAACCCAUAGGCGUUGAAAAGCCCCGGGAUGACUUGUGGAUAGGGGUGAAAGGCCAAUCAAACUUCGUGAUAGCUGGUUCUCUCCGAAAUAUAUUUAGGUAUAGCGUUGUGUCGUAAUAUAAGGGGGUAGAGCACUGAAUGGGCUAGGGCAUACACCAAUGUACCAAACCCUAUCAAACUCCGAAUACUUUAUAUGUAAUCACAGCAGUCAGGCGGCGAGUGAUAAAAUCCGUCGUCAAGAGGGAAACAACCCAGACUACCAGCUAAGGUCCCUAAAUCUUACUUAAGUGGAAAACGAUGUGAAGUUACUUAAACAACCAGGAGGUUGGCUUAGAAGCAGCCAUCCUUUAAAGAAAGCGUAAUAGCUCACUGGUCUAGUGAUUUUGCGCGGAAAAUAUAACGGGGCUAAAGUAAGUACCGAAGCUGUAGACUUGCGCACAACUUAGAUUAUUUAAGUUUAGAAUAUGAGAAACUAAGUUAUAUGUUUAGUUAUAUUUUUACUGAUUUUUAUAGAGUAAAGAUAGAAAUAAAACUUAGUAAAAUCAGUAAAAAUAUUCUUAGACUAAAGUUAAGUAGUUUAAGUUGUGUGCAAGUGGUAGGAGAGCGUUCUAUUUGCGUCGAAGGUAUACCGGUAAGGAGUGCUGGAGCGAAUAGAAGUGAGCAUGCAGGCAUGAGUAGCGAUAAUUAAUGUGAGAAUCAUUAACGCCGUAAACCCAAGGUUUCCUACGCGAUGCUCGUCAUCGUAGGGUUAGUCGGGUCCUAAGUCGAGUCCGAAAGGGGUAGACGAUGGCAAAUUGGUUAAUAUUCCAAUACCAACAUUAGUGUGCGAUGGAAGGACGCUUAGGGCUAAGGGGGCUAGCGGAUGGAAGUGCUAGUCUAAGGUCGUAGGAGGUUAUACAGGCAAAUCCGUAUAACAAUACUCCGAGAACUGAAAGGCUUUUUGAAGUCUUCGGAUGGAUAGAAGAACCCCUGAUGCCGUCGAGCCAAGAAAAGUUUCUAAGUUUAGCUAAUGUUGCCCGUACCGUAAACCGACACAGGUGGGUGGGAUGAGUAUUCUAAGGCGCGUGGAAGAACUCUCUUUAAGGAACUCUGCAAAAUAGCACCGUAUCUUCGGUAUAAGGUGUGGUUCGCUUCGUAUUAGGAUUUACUCCGAAAGCGAAGAAACUUACAACAAAGAGUCCCUCCCGACUGUUUACCAAAAACACAGCACUCUGCUAACUCGUAAGAGGAUGUAUAGGGUGUGACGCCUGCCCGGUGCUCGAAGGUUAAUUGAUGGGGUUAGCAUUAGCGAAGCUCUUGAUCGAAGCCCGAGUAAACGGCGGCCGUAACUAUAACGGUCCUAAGGUAGCGAAAUUCCUUGUCGGUUAAAUACCGACCUGCAUGAAUGGCGUAACGAGAUGGGAGCUGUCUCAAAGAGGGAUCCAGUGAAAUUGUAGUGGAGGUGAAAAUUCCUCCUACCCGCGGCAAGACGGAAAGACCCCGUGGACCUUUACUACAGCUUGACACUGCUAUUUGGAUAAGAAUGUGCAGGAUAGGUGGGAGGCUUUGAGUAUAUGACGCCAGUUGUAUAUGAGCCAUUGUUGAGAUACCACUCUUUCUUAUUUGGGUAGCUAACCAGCUUGAGUUAUCCUCAAGUGGGACAAUGUCUGGUGGGUAGUUUGACUGGGGCGGUCGCCUCCCAAAUAAUAACGGAGGCUUACAAAGGUUGGCUCAGAACGGUUGGAAAUCGUUCGUAGAGUAUAAAGGUAUAAGCCAGCUUAACUGCAAGACAUACAAGUCAAGCAGAGACGAAAGUCGGUCUUAGUGAUCCGGUGGUUCUGUGUGGAAGGGCCAUCGCUCAAAGGAUAAAAGGUACCCCGGGGAUAACAGGCUGAUCUCCCCCAAGAGCUCACAUCGACGGGGAGGUUUGGCACCUCGAUGU
Molecule: ribosomal RNA, 2676 nt
Filed under: Campylobacter coli
Lineage: Bacteria; Pseudomonadati; Campylobacterota; Epsilonproteobacteria; Campylobacterales; Campylobacteraceae
Description: partial 23S ribosomal RNA
Rfam family: Bacterial large subunit ribosomal RNA
Source: RNAcentral